CCUUCGAUAGCUCAGCUGGAAGUGCGUGAGACUGUAAUGGGUUAUCACGUGACAUCUCAAGGUCGCUGGUUCGACCCCGGCUCGAAGGA
Molecule: non-coding RNA, 89 nt
Organism: Pilatotrama ljubarskyi
Lineage: Eukaryota; Fungi; Basidiomycota; Agaricomycetes; Polyporales; Polyporaceae
Source: the annotation of a GenBank genome assembly